Molecule: ribosomal RNA, 488 nt
Filed under: Guidettion prorsirostre
Lineage: Eukaryota; Metazoa; Tardigrada; Eutardigrada; Parachela; Hypsibiidae
Description: partial large subunit ribosomal RNA
Rfam family: Eukaryotic large subunit ribosomal RNA
Source: RNAcentral
CUGCGAGUGAAAGGGGAAAAGCCCAGCGCCGAAUCCUGCUGUUGGAGACGGUGGCAGGAACUGUGGCGUGAAGAAGGUGUCUAUCGGUGUGGCUUGCUCGCGUAAGUUCUCCUGAGUGAGGCUCCAUCCCAUGGAGGGUGCAAGGCCCGUGUCGUGAGCAGCCGUCGCCGAUGCGCGCUUUCAGAGAGUCGCCUUGUUUGCGAGUACAAGGUGAAGUCGGUGGUAAACUCCAUCGAAGGCUAAAUAUGACCACGAGUCCGAUAGCGAACAAGUACCGUGAGGGAAAAUUGAAAAGCACUUUGAAGAGAGAGCGAAACAGUGCGUGAAACCGUUCAGAGGUAAGCAGAUGGGGCCUCGAAGGCAGAGCAUCGAAUUCAGCCGGUUGUCCGUGCGGUGGGCUGCUACACGAGAUCGCAAGACUCUGUCUGGUUUGCUUAGCGCGGCUGCUGGUGCACUUUCGGUGCUUGUACGCCACCGCCGUUGAGGAG